RNAcentral lists this ribosomal RNA (244 nucleotides) under uncultured bacterium. Its description in RNAcentral is "partial 16S ribosomal RNA". It matches the Rfam family "Bacterial small subunit ribosomal RNA", at positions 533 to 776 of the family's 1533-position model. The record is from RNAcentral.
GACUAGCGUUGUUCGGAAUUACUGGGCGUAAAGCGCACGUAGGCGGAUUUGUAAGUCCGGGGUGAAAUCCCGGGGCUCAACCUCGGAACUGCCUUUGAUACUGCAAAUCUCGAGUCCGGAAGAGGUGAGUGGAAUUCCUAGUGUAGAGGUGAAAUUCGUAGAUAUUAGGAAGAACACCAGUGGCGAAGGCGGCUCACUGGUCCGGUACUGACGCUGAGGUGCGAAAGCGUGGGGAGCAAACAGG